CUGGAACGCGCCCCAGGCGCACCCAGAAACCCUUUGUGAACUUAUACCUUACUGUUGCCUCGGCGCUAGCUGGUCCUUCGGGGCCCCUCACCCUCGGGUGUUGAGACAGCCCGCCGGCGGCCAACCUAACUCUUGUUUUUACACUGAAACUCUGAGAAUAAAACAUAAAUGAAUCAAAACUUUCAACAACGGAUCUCUUGGUUCUGGCAUCGAUGAAGAACGCAGCGAAAUGCGAUAAGUAAUGUGAAUUGCAGAAUUCAGUGAAUCAUCGAAUCUUUGAACGCACAUUGCGCCCUCUGGUAUUCCGGAGGGCAUGCCUGUUCGAGCGUCAUUUCAACCCUCAAGCCUGGCUUGGUGAUGGGGCACUGCUUCUUACCCGAGGAGCAGGCCCUGAAAUUCAGUGGCGAGCUCGCCAGGACCCCGAGCGCAGUAGUUAAACCCUCGCUCUGGAAGGCCCUGGCGGUGCCCUGCCGUUAAACCCCCAACUUCUGAAAAU
RNAcentral lists this ribosomal RNA (496 nucleotides) under Diaporthe sp. Lak001. RNAcentral describes it as "eukaryotic LSU rRNA". The stretch from base 178 to 331 matches the Rfam family "5.8S ribosomal RNA". Lineage: Eukaryota; Fungi; Ascomycota; Sordariomycetes; Diaporthales; Diaporthaceae. The record is from RNAcentral.